This 200-nucleotide unclassified non-coding RNA is filed under the name soil metagenome. Its description in RNAcentral is "partial contains internal transcribed spacer 2 and large subunit ribosomal RNA". The record is from RNAcentral.
AUUAAAAACCACUCAAGCUCUUUUGCUUGGUCAUGGAAGAAGAGUUUGCUUGCAAUCUCUCCUCCGAAAUUCAAAGGCGGAAAGUCUCAGAGCCCCGGCGUAGUAAUAAUAUUUCGCUUGGAACUUGAAAUGAUCCUGCCCUUAACCCCCAAUUUAUCUAGGUUGACCUCGGAUCAGGUAGGGAUACCCGCUGAACUUAA